AGGACGAACGCUGGCGGCGUGCUUAACACAUGCAAGUCGAGCGAUGAACUCUCUUCGGAGGGGGAUUAGCGGCGAACGGGUGAGUAACACGUGGGCAACCUGCCCUCAGCUCUGGGAUAACUCCUCGAAAGAGGGGCUAAUACCGGAUACGACUUCCUGCGGCAUCUUGGGAAGUGGGAAGUUUUUCGGCUGAGGAUGGGCCCGCGGCCUAUCAGCUUGUUGGUGGGGUAAUGGCCCACCAAGGCGACGACGGGUA
Molecule: ribosomal RNA, 256 nt
Filed under: uncultured soil bacterium
Lineage: Bacteria
Description: partial 16S ribosomal RNA
Rfam family: Bacterial small subunit ribosomal RNA
Source: RNAcentral